Molecule: long non-coding RNA, 549 nt
Filed under: Coffea arabica (coffee)
Lineage: Eukaryota; Viridiplantae; Streptophyta; Magnoliopsida; Gentianales; Rubiaceae
Description: long non-coding RNA (CARA_LNC008369)
Source: RNAcentral
CUGAAUUUGUUUGUAAGAAAUAAAAUUUUCUGCAAAAAAGAAGAUGGCAAAAGUCGCAGGACUCGUUCUCCCAGUGCUUAUCAUCAGCUUUGUAGUUCUUGGCACUUGCAGCCACUUUACUUUGAAAGCAAUGGCAAGUGAAGAUAAAGAUGAUUCAGCUUCUUUCACAGUUGCUUCUUUACCCGCGGCCGAUGAAGUGGCGGAUGCAGGACGGAGACUCCUCCAUAACCACCCCGACCCACGUUGCGAUUGCAGUUGUAAAAAUAAACCAGAUUGUUUUGCUGAUGAUCCUUACUGUCAAGAGCAAUGUGGUGGUCGGUAAGCCCGAAUCACCCAAAACAGGGAAAAGUGCGAAUAUAUCCUCCAUGCUUGUCAUGUCAAGUUGCAUUGGAAUUUCAAUCUUCUUGUCAGUUUCCUUUCUGUUGUUUUCGCUUUGUUGACUUCUGGUGUGUGUUUUAUCCGUCCAUCUCUCUCCGUUUCCUUCAGGAAUGGAUCAAUAAAUUUGUUGUAAACUCCAUGGUUUAAAUGCCUCAUCUUUUGUUUUGGAAU